GUCUGAUCUGCGUACAUCCACCUGAGUUUUUUCUGUGAAAUCACAUGACCAGAGCAACCAAUCAGACAGCAGCAGCGUCUCACCUGAAUUAACUUAUUAAC
Molecule: long non-coding RNA, 101 nt
Organism: Etheostoma cragini (Arkansas darter)
Lineage: Eukaryota; Metazoa; Chordata; Actinopteri; Perciformes; Percidae
Exons: 3
Source: RefSeq, a predicted model, not a curated record